GUUGGUGUAUUGCAUUGUUUUAGCCAUUGGAUUUGACCCAAAACUCACAAAAUGACUCCUAACACCAUAUUAUGAUGUUCCCCAAGUUUUGGACUCAAUCCGAUAUCGAUUGGUUCAUGAAACUGGACAAUUUAGGUUCGUACGAAGUUCGUUACGAAAUAGAGUGGUUGGUGUAUUGCACAAUUUCAGCCAUUGGAUUUCACUCAAAAC
RNAcentral lists this long non-coding RNA (210 nucleotides) under Prunus persica (peach). RNAcentral's name for it is "long non-coding RNA (PPER_LNC008530)". Lineage: Eukaryota; Viridiplantae; Streptophyta; Magnoliopsida; Rosales; Rosaceae. The record is from RNAcentral.